This 461-nucleotide ribosomal RNA is filed under the name uncultured bacterium. Its description in RNAcentral is "partial 16S ribosomal RNA". It matches the Rfam family "Bacterial small subunit ribosomal RNA", at positions 338 to 795 of the family's 1533-position model. The record is from RNAcentral.
CCUACGGGAGGCAGCAGUGAGGAAUAUUGGUCAAUGGGCGCGAGCCUGAACCAGCCAAGUCGCGUGAGGGAAGACGGUCCUAUGGAUUGUAAACCUCUUUUGUCGGGGAGCAAGGCGCGCCACGUGUGGCGGCAAGGAGAGUACCCGACGAAAAAGCAUCGGCUAACUCCGUGCCAGCAGCCGCGGUAAUACGGAGGGUGCGAGCGUUAUCCGGAUUUACUGGGUGUAAAGGGAGCGUAGGCGGGAAGCCAAGUCAGCUGUGAAAACUACGGGCUUAACCUGUAGACUGCAGUUGAAACUGGGUUUCUUGAGUGCAGUAGAGGUUGGCGGAAUGCCGAGUGUAGCGGUGAAAUGCGUAGAUAUUCGGAGGAACACCGGUGGCGAAGGCGGCCAACUGGGCUUUAACUGACGCUGAGGCUCGAAAGUGUGGGGAGCAAACAGGAUUAGAUACCCUGGUAGUC